Molecule: unclassified non-coding RNA, 314 nt
Filed under: plant metagenome
Description: partial contains 5.8S ribosomal RNA, internal transcribed spacer 2, and large subunit ribosomal RNA
Rfam family: 5.8S ribosomal RNA (bases 1-104)
Source: RNAcentral
AACUGCGAUAAGUAAUGUGAAUUGCAGAAUUCAGUGAAUCAUCGAGUCUUUGAACGCACAUUGCGCCCCCUGGCAUUCCGGGGGGCAUGCCUGUCCGAGCGUCAUUGCUGCCCUUCAAGCCCGGCUUGUGUGUUGGGUCGUCGUCCCCUCCGGGGGACGGGCCCGAAAGGCAGCGGCGGCACCGCGUCCGGUCCUCGAGCGUAUGGGGCUUUGUCACCCGCUCGAUAAGGACCGGCCGGGCGCCAGCCGGCGUCUCCAACCUUUUUUUCUCAGGUUGACCUCGGAUCAGGUAGGAAUACCCGCUGAACUUAAGC